RNAcentral lists this ribosomal RNA (739 nucleotides) under uncultured bacterium. RNAcentral describes it as "bacterial SSU rRNA". It matches the Rfam family "Bacterial small subunit ribosomal RNA", at positions 26 to 809 of the family's 1533-position model. The record is from RNAcentral.
AGAGCGAACGCUGGCGGCAGGCUUAACACAUGCAAGUCGAGCGGCCGUAGCAAUACGGCAGCGGCAGACGGGUGAGUAACACGUGGGAACGUGCCUUUCGGUUCGGAAUAUCCCAGGGAAACCUGGGGCAAUACCGGAUACGCCCUUACGGGGAAAGAUUUAUCGCCGAAAGAUCGGCCCGCGUCUGAUUAGCUAGUUGGUGGGGUAACGGCCCACCAAGGCGACGAUCAGUAGCUGGUCUGAGAGGAUGAUCAGCCACACUGGGACUGAGACACGGCCCAGACUCCUACGGGAGGCAGCAGUGGGGAAUAUUGGACAAUGGGGGAAACCCUGAUCCAGCCAUGCCGCGUGAGUGAUGAAGGCCCUAAGGUUGUAAAGCUCUUUCGGCGGGGAAGAUAAUGACGGUACCCGCAGAAGAAGCCCCGGCUAACUUCGUGCCAGCAGCCGCGGUAAUACGUAGGGGGCUAGCGUUGUCCGGAAUCAUUGGGCGUAAAGCGCGCGUAGGCGGCCCGGUAAGCCCGCUGUGAAAGUCAAAGGCUCAACCUUUGAAUGUCAGCGGAUACUGCCGGGCUAGAGUCCGGAAGAGGCGAGUGGAACUCCUGGUGUAGCGGUGGAAUGCGCAGAUAUCAGGAAGAACACCAACGGCGAAGGCAGCUCGCUGGGACGGAACUGACGCUAAGGCGCGAAAGCGUGGGGAGCGAACAGGAUUAGAUACCCUGGUAGUCCACGCCGUAAACGA